RNAcentral lists this ribosomal RNA (253 nucleotides) under uncultured bacterium. Its description in RNAcentral is "partial 16S ribosomal RNA". It matches the Rfam family "Bacterial small subunit ribosomal RNA", at positions 524 to 776 of the family's 1533-position model. The record is from RNAcentral.
UACAGAGGUCUCGAGCGUUAGGCGGAAUCACUGGGCUUAAAGCGUGUGUAGGUGGAUCGUUAAGUACCUUGUGAAAUCCCACGGCUUAACCGUGGAACUGCUUGGUAUACUGGCGGUCUUGAGCCAGCUAGGGGCUACCGGAACAAAUGGUGGAGCGGUGAAAUGCGUAGAUAUCAUUUGGAACGCCAAUGGUGAAAACAGGUAGCUGGGGCUGUGCUGACGCUGAGACACGAAAGCCAGGGGAGCGAACGGG